Molecule: ribosomal RNA, 468 nt
Filed under: uncultured bacterium
Lineage: Bacteria
Description: partial 16S ribosomal RNA
Rfam family: Bacterial small subunit ribosomal RNA
Source: RNAcentral
GACGAACGCUGGCGGCGUGCUUAACACAUGCAAGUCGAACGGAAAGGCCCUGCUUUUGUGGGUUGCUCGAGUGGCGAACGGGUGAGUAACACGUGAGUAACCUGCCCUUGACUUUGGGAUAUCUUCAGGAAACUGCGGCUCAUACCGGAUAGGAUCUCCUGCUGCAUGUUGGGGGUUGGAAAGUUUCGGCGGUUGGGGAUGGACUCGCGGCUUAUCCGCUUGUUGGUGGGGUAGGGGCUUACCAAGCCUUUGACGGGUAGCCGGCCUGAGAGGGUGACCGGCGACAAUGGGACUGAGGGAGGGCGCAGUAUGGUAUGGGAGGCAACGGGGGGGAAUAUUGCGGAAUGGGGGGGAGCCAGAUGCGACAACGCCGGGUGCGGGAAGACGGGCUUCGGGGUGUGAACCGCUUUCGCCUGUAACAAAGCGGGAGUGACGGUAAUGGGUAAAAAAGCAACGGCUAACUACGUG